UUCAGCUACCACUCAUUGGAAAAUGGAAGGUUCAAGGCAUGGACACCCGUGGACAGGUUCCAUUGCAUGGACACCCUCAUUGCUCUGAUCUUUGGGUAAAUCUGAUGCUGCAGACUUUGAGCAGAGAGAGCUGUGACUCGUGCCGAGCGGAUGCUGCCCUGCCUGUUGCAAACAACAGAUGACUUCAUUCAGGAGUGCUGCUUGCUGCUGCUGUGUUAGAGCCAGCCUUUAAUGGAAUCAGAUGUGCACAUUAAAUUAAUACGUUUUACAUGGA
This 274-nucleotide long non-coding RNA is filed under the name Gallus gallus (chicken). RNAcentral describes it as "long non-coding RNA NONGGAT004929". The record is from RNAcentral. Lineage: Eukaryota; Metazoa; Chordata; Aves; Galliformes; Phasianidae.